UGAGAGAGGUCAGCGUGAGCCCCUUGCCUCACACCGGCCCCUCCCACGCUGAGAGAGGUCAGUGUGAGCCCUUGCCUCACACCGGCCCCUCCCACGCGGACAGAGGUCAGCGUGAGCCCCUUGCCUCACACCGGCCCCUCCCACGCUGAGAGAGGUCAGUGUGAGCCCUUGCCUCACCCCGGCCCCUCCCACGUGGACAGAGGUCAGCGUGAGCCCCUUGCCUCACACCGGCCCCUCCCACGCGGACAGAGGUCAGCCCGAGCCCCUUGUCUCACACCGGCCCCUCCCAUGCUGAGAGAGGUCAGCCCAAGCCCCUUGCCUCACACCGGCCCCUCCCACGCGGACAGAGGUCAGCCCGAGCUCCUUGCCUCACACCGGCCCCUCCCACGCUGAGAGAGGUCAGCCCGAGCCCCUUGCCUCACACCGGCCCCUCCCACGCUGAGAGAGGUCAGCGUGAGCCCCUUGUCUCACACCGGCCCCUCCCACGCUGAGAGAGGUCAGCCCGAGCCCCUUGCCUCACACCGGCCCCUCCCACGCUGAGAGAGGUGUGAGCCCCUUGUCUCACACCGGCCCCUCCCACGCGGACAGAGGUCAGCGUGAGCCCCUUGCCUCACCCCGGCCCCUCCCACGCUGAGAGAGGUCAGUGUGAGCCCUUGCCUCACACCGGCCCCUCCCACGCGGACAGAGGUCAGCGUGAGCCCCUUGCCUCACCCCGGCCCCUCCCACGCUGAGAGAGGUCAGUGUGAGCCCUUGCCUCACACCGGCCCCUCCCACGCGGACAGAGGUC
This 787-nucleotide long non-coding RNA is filed under the name Homo sapiens (human). Its description in RNAcentral is "HSALNT0317692". Lineage: Eukaryota; Metazoa; Chordata; Mammalia; Primates; Hominidae. The record is from RNAcentral.